This 253-nucleotide ribosomal RNA is filed under the name uncultured prokaryote. RNAcentral's name for it is "partial 16S ribosomal RNA". It matches the Rfam family "Bacterial small subunit ribosomal RNA", at positions 525 to 777 of the family's 1533-position model. The record is from RNAcentral.
ACGGAGGGUGCGAGCGUUGUCCGGAUUUAUUGGGUUUAAAGGGUGCGUAGGCGGCCCGCUAAGUCUUCGGUGAAACCCCCGGGCUCAACCCGGGGAGUGCCGGCGAUACUGGCGGGCUUGGAUUCUCUCUGGGCGGGCGGAAUGGAAGGUGUAGCGGUGAAAUGCAUAGAUAUCUACCAGAACGCCGAUAGCGAAGGCAGCUCGCUGGGGACGGAUCGACGCUGAGGCACGAUAGCGUGGGGAUCAAACAGGA